GAUGAACGCUGGCUACAGGCUUAACACAUGCAAGUCGAGGGGAAACGACGGGGAAGCUUGCUUCCCCGGGCGUCGACCGGCGCACGGGUGAGUAACGCGUAUCCAACCUGCCUCUGACUGAGGGAUAACCCGUCGAAAGUCGGCCUAAUACCUCAUGGUAUCGUCUGCGGGCAUCCAACGACGAUUAAAGAUUUCAUCGGUCAGGGAUGGGGAUGCGUCUGAUUAGCUUGUUGGCGGGGUAACGGCCCACCAAGGCUACGAUCAGUAGGGGUUCUGAGAGGAAGGUCCCCCACAUUGGAACUGAGACACGGUCCAAACUCCUACGGGAGGCAGCAGUGAGGAAUAUUGGUCAAUGGGCGAGAGCCUGAACCAGCCAAGUAGCGUGCAGGAAGACGGCCCUAUGGGUGGUAAACUGCUUUUAGGCGGGGAUAAAGUGAGGGACGGGUCCCUCAUUGCAGGUACCGCAUGAAUAAGGACCGGCUAAUUCCGUG
Molecule: ribosomal RNA, 491 nt
Filed under: uncultured bacterium
Lineage: Bacteria
Description: partial 16S ribosomal RNA
Rfam family: Bacterial small subunit ribosomal RNA
Source: RNAcentral